RNAcentral lists this ribosomal RNA (381 nucleotides) under uncultured eukaryote. Its description in RNAcentral is "partial 18S ribosomal RNA". It matches the Rfam family "Eukaryotic small subunit ribosomal RNA", at positions 592 to 976 of the family's 1831-position model. The record is from RNAcentral.
CAAUAGCGUAUAUUAAAGUUGUUGCGGUAAAAAAGCUCGUAGUUGGAUUUCUACCGAAGAUAGCCGGUCGGGUCUUCGACCUUGUAUCUGGUUUUGUCUUUGGUAUCCUCAUAGGGAACGUUUCUGCGCUUUAUUGCGUGGUGCGGUAUCUAUGACUUUUACUUUGAGGAAAUUAGAGUGUUCACGGCAGGCAAACGCCUUGAAUAUAUUAGCAUGGAAUAAUAACAUAGGAUCUUCGUCCUAUUUUGUUGGUUUCUAGGGCUAAGAUAAUGAUUAAUAGGGAUAAUUGGGGGCAUCUGUAUCAACGCGUCAGAGGUGGAAUUCUUGGAUUGCGUUGCGACAAACUACUGCGAAAGCAUUUGCCAAGGAUGUCUUCAUUGA